CCUCCAUGAGCAGUGUUUGCUUUCCCAGCUCCUUCCCCGGCAGCCCACAGCAGACGUCUGGGGGGAGCAGCACUGCUUGCCUCUUGAAGGGUGAUUUCAUGGCCAGGCCGGGAAUGUGCGCCGCGUCCCUCUGCCACGGGGCAGAGAUGCUGCUGGAGGAGGUUCUGCUCAUCUGCUGUGCUCCUGAGAUGGGCACCCUCUGCACCGCCAAGGGGCCUGCUGCUGGCUCUGAGCGCUGUGUGCUGCUGGACAGCCGGCUGUGCUCGUGCUGUAGGGGGGCCAUGCGGUUUGGCAAGGGGCUGAAUGGGGACCCAGCACCAUCUGCAGCACAGAGCGGGCGUGAGACCCCCAGAGCCCCAGAGCUGGCCUUGGGCAAACAGGGAAACCCAACCCACAGCGAGCCCUGCGCAUGGACAGGGCUGUGCCUGGCCAUGGCCACAAGCCCAGGUCUGCGGGAGUGGGGACCCAGGUGGAAUGCUGUGCCAUCUCUGCAUCUGCAGCACCACAAACACAGCCCAUACACACAUCUGGGCUUUCCUUGGAACCCCGUGGCUUUUGAAGGCUGUGUCAGCUCAGUGAGCAGCUCCUCCAGCUUGGGGCAUCCUCCUUGGGGAUGCAGUCAGUGGCAGGGAGAACAAACAGACAGCACCGGGGCAGGAAUGGUGUGUAAGGUAGAACCCAGGGUGGAUUCGGGAACAGAUACAGGCAGGGAGUUGAAAGUCACACGUGGAGGCGUGAGGGAGACAUUAGGUUUGCCAUCAAAGGCUCAUCCCCAUGGUCUGGGCAUCCAAGACCAUUUUGCUUAAUUACAUCCUGAAAGUGUGCAAAAGAAGUGCUGGGAGAGAGGAUUUCACAGCAGUCCUGCAGGCUGGAGGGAGGGGAACUGCAGAGGAGGAGGCUGAAGUGCUCCUGUCCCAACCAGAGAAACAGCCAGGGCCGUGCAAACGGGCAGAAGAGCCCCGUGGUGCCCAGCCCAGCCCAGAAGAGGGCCGAGGGAAGAGCCAGCAUCACCCCGCACUGCACUGCACACCCAUACACGUUCAUGCUCCUAAUCGUAUCCAGUUCCAGGUUAGUAAUGAGCACAGUUCCCUGAGCAUCGCAGGGGCAUCGUGGGAGCUCUGAAACAAGUACAGGAUCAGCAAGGACAAUAUCUGGUAGCCAUCACAGGGAUUUCUGA
This 1177-nucleotide long non-coding RNA is filed under the name Gallus gallus (chicken). Its description in RNAcentral is "lncRNA (ENSGALG00010030059.1)". Lineage: Eukaryota; Metazoa; Chordata; Aves; Galliformes; Phasianidae. The record is from RNAcentral.